RNAcentral lists this ribosomal RNA (253 nucleotides) under uncultured bacterium. RNAcentral describes it as "partial 16S ribosomal RNA". It matches the Rfam family "Bacterial small subunit ribosomal RNA", at positions 524 to 776 of the family's 1533-position model. The record is from RNAcentral.
UACAGAGGUCUCUAGCGUUGUUCGGAUUCAUUGGGCGUAAAGGGUGCGUAGGUGGCUUGUUAAGUUGAAGGUGACAUCUCGGGGCUCAACUCCGAAACUGCCUUCAAUACUGGCGAGCUCGAGGACUGUAGAGGAGAAUGGAAUUCACGGUGUAGCAGUGAAAUGCGUAGAUAUCGUGAGGAAGACCAGUGGCGAAAGCGAUUCUCUGGGCAGUUCCUGACGCUGAGGCGCGAAAGCCAGGGGAGCAAACGGG